GUAAUCUUCACGUCGGGACCCUGC
This 24-nucleotide non-coding RNA is filed under the name Arabidopsis thaliana (thale cress). Lineage: Eukaryota; Viridiplantae; Streptophyta; Magnoliopsida; Brassicales; Brassicaceae. The record is from RNAcentral.